Non-coding RNA from Oryzias latipes (Japanese medaka), 3291 nucleotides. The record is from RefSeq and is a predicted model, not a curated record. NCBI's taxonomy places the organism in Eukaryota, Metazoa, Chordata, Actinopteri, Beloniformes, Adrianichthyidae.
UUCUCGAUUUGGAUCAUGCCAUUUUGGCAGGCCGUACGCAGUCGUUUGUUUUAGUAACGUGUGGGGAAAAAAAGAUUCGCAAGACGUUGCAUUGUACACGUGGAUGAAGACAAGAGGAUUCCAGAAACCAUACAAGUUUUGUUGAAAUAAUUUUGAUGAACUCGUUCAGUGGACUUUUUAACGGUGGUACGCAGUUUUCACAGGUAUUGCUAGACGUGCAAACAAAGGAACUCCGGGCUGCCACAGGUUCGUUAAAACUAUAUUGUACUAUUUCAAGUCCGAAUUUGUAUAGAGCCAAGUACUCCAUACGUUUUCCCUCUUCGCAUUAGACAUUGAUAAAAAAACAACAACUCCUCCUCCUUGGACUGGGUAAUUAGCCUGACUCAUUCAGCCUUGUUAGCAACGUUGGCUAAAGUUAGCCACAGUUGUCAAUAACAAAAACAAGCGAGCUUUAGCACUUUCUGGAAGAAGAUGGCCGAAGGUUAUAUUCGAGUGGCGGAGGAAGAAAACGAGGAGCCCAUGGAGAUCCCAUCGGAGGAUGACGGCACCGUCCUGCUUUCAACGGUAGCGGCUCAGUUUCCCGGCGCGUGCGGCCUGCGGUUCCGGAGCCCCGUGUCUCAGUGCAUGAGGGGAGUGCGACUCGUGGAAGGGGUCCUUCACGCACCGGAGACCGGAUGGGGGAACGUCGUGUAUGUGGUCAACUAUCCAAAAGAUAACAAAAGGAAAAUGGAUGAAAUUGAUGCGUCUUCUGCUGUGAAGAUGAAAAGGGGGGACAUGAAGACAUCGGAUCUCAUCGUUCUGGGUCUUCCUUGGAAAACAACCGAACAGGAUUUGAAAGAUUAUUUCAGCACUUUUGGAGAAGUCAUCAUGGUUCAGGUUAAACGAGAUGCCAAGACGGGAAACUCUAAAGGAUUCGGUUUUGUGAGGUUCACAGAGUAUGAAGCUCAAGAGAAGGUCAUCUCCCAACGCCACAUGAUUGAUGGCCGAUGGUGCGACUGCAAGCUUCCUAACUCGAAGGUGAAUAUGCAAGGUCCAGAUGAGCCAUUAAGGAGCCGAAAGGUGUUUGUGGGCCGUUGCACAGAAGACAUGACCACAGAUGACCUGAGGCAGUUCUUUAUGCAGUAUGGGGAAGUCACGGAUGUCUUCAUACCUAAGCCUUUCCGUGCUUUUGCCUUUGUUACCUUUGCGGAUGAUCAGGUUGCCCAGUCCCUCUGUGGGGAAGACCUUAUAAUUAAAGGAGUCAGUGUUCACAUUUCAAAUGCUGAGCCCAAACAUGGCAAUAGGCAGUAUGACCGCACAGCACGGUUUGGAAAUGGCUUUGGAGCUCAGGCAUUCGGCAGCAGCCGGGGUGGUUUGGGGAGCAGCACUAACAGUAGUCUGGCCAACUUUGGUUCCUUCAGUCUAAAUCCUGCCAUGAUGGCUGCUGCCCAGGCCGCCCUGCAAAGUAGUUGGGGGAUGAUGGGCAUGCUGGCUAGUCAGCAGCAGACGUCCACCUCAGGCAGUUCCUCUAGUGGAACAGGCUCAAACAGGGACCAGAAUCAGUCUUUCAACACAGGCAAUAGCAACUACGGCACCGGCUCGGCUAGUCUGGGCUGGGGCACUGGUUCCAACUCCACAACCAGCGGUAGUGGGUUUAGUUCAGGUUUUGGGUCCAGCAUGGAGUCAAAAUCCUCUGGGUGGGGUAUGUAAGUUGUAUGUUUGUAUGGUAAGUAUUGCGAGAAGGAUACGUCUUUUGAAAAAUCUUUUCUGGUGUUGAAUAUUUGAAAAAGAUGUUUUGUACACUUGGGGGAAAAAAUGCUAACGAUUUAAUUUGGGAAGUGUUUAAGUGACUCGUUUACCAGAAUCUCUUGACUAAAGUGCGAUUUUGGAUGUCUUGUUUUUUUUUUUUCGUUUUUCUUUUUUGUAUCCAUUUCAACUGGAUUCUCUAAUGCAUGUAUUGUGAAAUGUGAUACCCAUUUUAAAAAAUGCAUGAAUGUCUGUGGUUCACCAUUAUCCAGCUUUGUCAUCGACUUAAAAGGCAAUCUUGCAUUGGAAAGAAUCUGGUUGAAACCUAAAUGUUUUAAGUGCAACUUUCUUUGCAGUCCAGUUCUGUGGAAAAGCCUUCAUUGAAAUCUCUUCUGCAGUUCACAUCUCUUCCAUUUUCCUGUGAGGAAGUUCCUCUUUGGCAGAAUUCUUGGGGUGAUAUCCAUAUCAUUCUGCCUCUUCCCACCUGUAAAUGCUAUGCCAACAAAGAACGGCUUCACUCCGCAUGUUCUGAGAGACGAUUUGGAGUCAGUUUUACUUGGAGUAAUCAUACCAGAUGAAGCUCGUCUCCCUGAAUCCAAUGCUGGUUGGGUGGAGCGAUAGGCCUCCCUCCACGCCUGCUGGCGCGGACAGACUGAAACGCAAUCCCUCCUGAAAGCGCAGGCGUUUACCAAGAGACGGAGUUGCAACACGGUGGCCAUGUUUCUGUACUUGCUUGUCUAUGUGGCGUAUCACAGCAGCAGAUGGUUACCGAGGACUCAGCGGUUCAAGUUUCAAAUAGUGAACGCUGUGUUCAUCCUGGUGGUCCUGAUCCCUCAGAUCUACAUCAUGGCAAGGCCAAAAUCCUCCAGAUACUGCAGCCAGCCUCUUCUGGUCAACCUGUCUGCCUCUGUGGUUUUGUCCUUCAUUGCUUCAGGAUUUUCUCUGCUCUUCACCCUGAUAGAUCCACUUCCUCAGAGUUUGUGGGCGUCAUUUCACGUGUUCGGUCUGCUGUCAUGUGGACACGGGCUUUGCACUUCCGUCCUGACUCUCACAGCAGCAGAAUGUGUCAAAAGCACUCCAGAGCUUUACUACAUGUCGGUGGCUCUGACAGUCGCCUCUGCCGUCAGCGCAGGCUUUCUGCUGCUGAGAGGAGGACUGUGGUUAAGCAACAUGCGGCCUGUGGCGCAGACAGGCUGAUAAACCCCUGCAGCUGUCCCCCACGCUGACAUCCAAUAGCCCGCAUUUCAACUAUUCAUGAGCUUUGUGGGCCCGCAGCAGCCGGUAACUCUAGACCACAAAGAAAACUGUAAAGAGGACUUCAUCCAUCUGCAAUUUGUUCUACAAAAGCACUUGUUCGGAUCCUUUUGGAGGUUGGCAGAGAGUUCCUGACAUGAGCUUGUAAAAGAAGACAGUGAACAUGAAGUUUACAAAGCUGACUAAACGUACUAAACUACAUCAUGUAGAAAAAAGAAAAAGAAAAAAUCAGAGGAUUCAUCUCAAGGCAAAAAUGAAUAGAUUUUGUCAAGACAACAAAAGCAAAAGAUGUUUUGCAUGGCUGAUAAUACA